GCUCCUACCGAUUGAGUGAUCCGGUGAAUUAUUCGGACUGACGCAGUGCUCAGCUGCUGGACGUUGCGUUGGAAAGUUUCAUGAACCUUAUCACUUAGAGGAAGGAGAAGUCGUAACAAGGUUUCCGUAGGUGAACCUGCAGAAGGAUCAAGAUCGGAAAGGCCGUCGGUUGGGGAAGAGUGUAAGACUUGGUGGUCGGCGUAUCAAUAAAAAAAAAAAAACCAAUAGUAACUAGCAUGUUCGCUGCACGUUACAUAACCAAACUGCUACGUACCUC
This 277-nucleotide unclassified non-coding RNA is filed under the name sea anemone metagenome. Its description in RNAcentral is "partial contains small subunit ribosomal RNA and internal transcribed spacer 1". The stretch from base 1 to 153 matches the Rfam family "Eukaryotic small subunit ribosomal RNA", at positions 1678 to 1831 of the family's 1831-position model. The record is from RNAcentral.